Callithrix jacchus (white-tufted-ear marmoset) is the source of this 872-nucleotide long non-coding RNA. RefSeq lists it as uncharacterized. NCBI's taxonomy places the organism in Eukaryota, Metazoa, Chordata, Mammalia, Primates, Cebidae. The record is from RefSeq and is a predicted model, not a curated record.
ACCCAGAUCUCACCUUGUAGCUCCCAUAAUUCUCGCAUGUUGUGGGAGGGACCUGAUGAAAGAUGAUUGAAUCAUGGGGGUGGGUCUUUCCUGUGCUGUUCUCAUGAUAGUGAAUGGGUCUCACGAAAUCUGAUGGUUUUUAAAACAGGAGUUUCUCUACACAAGCGCUCUCUUUGGCUGCUGCCAUCCACUUGCUCCUCCUUGCCUUCCGCCAUGAUUGUGAGGCCUCCCUGGCCAUGUAGAACUAGUUUGCCUACCUUUGAUUGUGAAACUGAAAUCGAACUCCUCAGCAAAGUAUCUGAGGCCCUCCACGAUCUUGCUGUGCUUCUGAUUCAGACUUUCAGCUUCAUCUCUCCAUAAACACUCAUUUUGAACAUUUUUCUCAUUCCCAGCACCUGCCAACAUUUUAAACAGUUCUUUGCACCCCCUUCUCCCUAUACGUAGAGUGCUCAGAUUCCCACCCACUCCUUUUGACAAGCUCUCUUCAAGGCUCCGGUGAGAAGAAGAUAAGCAAAGAAAGAAGCAGAGAAAGAAAACACAUACCAUACACAUACAUGAGUGAAUCGAACAAAAGAAAUGUCACAAAACUGGGUUCCAUCCCAUUAAAGAGACUGUCCAGAACAACAGCAGAGCCCAUGAAGAAGCUUCAAAGCUGCUCCAGCAUGGGCAAAGGGAAAAACUGCUGUUGAGCCUCAUGGGAUUUUAUCUCUAGAGCAGAUGCACAAGCAGCCAAAGAGUGGCGGAACAAUGUAAGUGACUCCUGAUAUGCAGAAAACAUAAGACCAUCUUUCCAUUUCUGAGUGAUAAGCUUUAUAUCUAUAGUCCAGACCUCCCUCUCUCACACAUGUGCGCAAACACGUGCCACGCACACA